RNA transcript from Lathyrus oleraceus (garden pea), 10378 nucleotides. RefSeq lists it as uncharacterized. Lineage: Eukaryota; Viridiplantae; Streptophyta; Magnoliopsida; Fabales; Fabaceae. The transcript has 4 exons. The record is from RefSeq and is a predicted model, not a curated record.
AUCCUAUGUGGCAUUGUUUGUGGAGGUCUUGAGAUAUUUUAGGAACUAAAUAUGGAGAUAUUUUAGGAACUAAGAGAUUGAAGACCUUGAUUGUAGCAGAAACUUUCUGCUGGUUUUGUAACAGCAAAGAACAAGUUUGCUGCGAUUUCUGAAGUCCCAAAUCCAGUUGGGUGAUUAGGUUAUAAAUAGCUUAUUGUAACCUAGUUUUUGUAAGCCUCUUAGAAUGAAUUUUUAGGGGUGUGUGUGAGGUAAACCUCCCAAUCUAUGGGAAGGUUACCAUAUGUUUCUCAGUGUUCAAAGCUGAGAGUGUUUGUAACUCAAAGCCUGUAGGCAAGAGUGAUUAUGUGCUUGAACGAAGCUGUGAAGCAAGUUCAAGUUGUUUUAACAUUACAUUGUAUUUGUAGUGAUAGGAAUGGAAACUGGAGGUUUAUAUCUAGGAGUUCCUAGGUAUAAAUUGCAUUGGGUAGAGAUUAAGUGAAGAGUUGUAAACGGGGGAGUUUAACUCUGAAUUAAUACUGCUGAUAGUGGAUCUUCUUCCUGGCUUGGUAUGCCCCCAGACGUAGGUGAGUUGCACCAAACUGGGUUAACAAUUGCUUGUGUUUUUACCUUCUGCACACUAUAUUUUGUCUGUUAUAACUCAGUCUGGUUUUAGUCUGUUUAUGAAGGGAAUAACAGAUAUGACACAUAGCCUGCAGUCUGAAUGUAAAACAGAAUGUUAUGACAUUCACCAUUGACUGCUGAUAUUGAUGGACUGGUUGGUCUGUUACAGUUCACUCAUCUGUAAUGUUAGGACAGGUGAUGUUCAAACCAAUGUUGAGACAUCAUGCUGAUAAUUGGGCAGGAUAAAUAAACAUAAGGGCUAUGUUUGAUCUCUACUGUGUGUUUGCACUAGAUGGACAGAACUAGGUGUUCCUCCAUUCUAGGGUGAUAUAGAAGUAGAUGUCGUGACAUCUGUGAACGUGUGCAUAUUAGUACAAGGUUUAAUAACUGUCUUGCAGUAUUAGUUACAAUGUUGGAUCAGAUGUCAUGACUUGGAGUAGAACAUCUGAAAUCUGACUACACCAGAAUUUCAAAUGGUAUCAGAGCAGGCAUCUUGUUCUGUUUCUGGCUGAGAUCCAUGGGUGAUACUUUCUGUUAUCUUGCAAGGAGUUAUGUUAGUACUGAUGGUGGAACCGUUGGAAGGUUCUGUGAUUCAUCUGAAUGGUCCCUUGAAGUAGGUGGAUGGACUGUUCAUGACUGGAAUGGUAUGUACCUGUCUCUGGAGGUUCGCAAUUGGCCUUUGUGUGGGACAGCUGUGCCAGUAUUGAAUCACAUUCAAACUUGGUAUGGUCUUGGAGGCUGAUCUGGUGAAGUGUGUGUUCAUAGGUUGAGUGGUAUUAUGAUUUCCGCUGCAUAAUACUUGGCAAAACGCAAACUCUGAUGUAGUUUCCCCUCAUACGGAUGAAAGGUUGUUGCAUUCAAGAUUUCAUCAUAAUCUACUGAAGAUGUCAAAGAUACUUGAGUAUCCUCAAGUCCACUCAUCAUGACGUUCUCACUUCAGGAUGAUAAGAAUCACCUAAUCACUGAUUCUUUUACUCUCUUGGGUAGUGUAUAUGAAGACCUUGAAGUCCUUCAAGGAGGGUUUGUUCCAAGGAGGUGGAACUAAUGUUCUAUGGGAUGUUAGAACAUGUUGUUCAACAAGUAUGCAGCUACUAGUUGAAGAGCAGAUGUUGUUUAGGUGUCAAACAAAGGGAUACUUUUGUUUGGAACCUACUCCUGACCUGGAAGAGGAGACAUUUGUGUGAGCUAAGUUGACAAGGGUAGGGUCAACUGUGUGUAUGCUCAAGAAGGUCACUUUUAGAAGUCUGAUCUCUAGAAGUGAAGCUGGUUGAGAUGUGACAUUGUGCAAUCCCUGUUGUGUGCCUUAUUCCUGUAGACUGAUCAGGGUUGGAUAGUUGUUCCCUGAAGUACUAUGGUGUCCUGGAAGACAAGUCCCCUGGAUGAUAGAAGUCAAUAAUGGGGUAACCUGACUGUUAUUCCAUUUAAGAGGAUUGGGACCAUGAAUCUUGUUAUUCAAACACCACGAUCAGAAGUGGCAGUUCUUUCAAGGAGUGAGAAUAUGAAGAUUCAGAAGUUGGUUGAGGUAGUAUGCUCUGGCAAUGCAUAUCUACUAUUGACUGGUGUUGUUUUCGUUCACUAGUACGUAUGGUCAGCUGAAGUCUGAUUGGAGUGAUUGGAGUAUGUAUAGGUAUAACUCAUAGAGUUAGGUGCCACUGGUAGGGAUGGUGUAUGUCAUGUUGAGACAUGUCUGUACAAUGCAUGGAUAUUGGUGUGGAGUGUCCAUGAUUGUUAAUUUGAGGGGGAGUUUGGCUAACCUCCUCACGUUUGGUCAGCCUAGGGUUUGGUUGGCUGUUGACCUGUGUCACAUGGGUUUUGGCUGUUGUGUGACACAUUUGCAAGGAAGAAUUCAUCUCUCUCAUUCCUAAGGGUGAAUUUAAUUUGAGAAGAUUUUCAAAACUGUUGAAGUGCUUGCAAGCAGAAGAUGUGACACUAGAAGAGUAGUUUCAAAGUAGUCUUAUGGUGGAAGUAUCUGAAAGGAAUAUUGGGAAAGGAUUUAAGAUCAAUGUCAACUUGUGCCAAGUACAAGUAUUUAAUUGAUUAUCCUUGGAGCUCAAGAUAACUGAUGUUCUUAAAGAUGUUGGAACAUCUCUUCUUCAAGACCCUGUGCAGAAUCACAGGAAGGAUAGUACAUUGGUUUAUGAUCUAUCUCUUUGGUGGGCAGCAAAAGCAUAUGAUCUCUGAAAAGGUUUCCUGGCAAGAAACAUGUUCAGCCUUGGUGUGUACAAGAAGAAGAAGACAUCAUAGUCUUGAUGGUGGUUACUUGGAUCAGUUUAUCUCUGAUCUAAGUAAGGAAGUGCAUUGGCUAAUGCACACUGUGAAGUUAAGAACAAGUGGCAGCACUCUUAACAUCAUGGAAACAGCCUUGCUUUAGGAAGUGGAAUCAUUGGUAUAGCUGAAGGGUUAGUUUCUAACUGGUCCUUCUGAAGACUCAUGCAUCAGUGUCUGAUGUCUUUGGAAAAGAAGCAGGAAUUCAUCAAGGUGUGAGCUUGGAUGACUUAACUGCAAACCUGCAGGAUGGAGGUUGUUUACUCAAACUUGGUUCCACAAUCAAGUCUAUGAGAACAUUGAACUCUUGUUCUGUGAAGGGAGGAAAUUCUUUCAAGUGGCAGAAGAAGGAGCUGAAUUCAACAGUUAGAUGUCAAAACACAAUGUUAUGACAUUUGGUUCAACAUCAGAUUCUUAGUUGGUGAAGUGGCACAUCAACUUGAGAUAGAAGGGUCUACAGGGUUGUAGAUUGGAUACUUCAAAAAGGUCGUCCUCGUUGCAGUUCUUUGGAGUUGCUGGAUAGAAAGGAUGUUACAUGUUCAUGUCUUAGAAAAUCUAAGUUUUGUUCAACAUGUAGCUUGAAGUUCAAGUCUCACUUGGAAGGUCAGAAUAUCUUUGGGAGAGGUCUGAUAGACGUGGAGAUGUCAAAUAAUGGCAUUUGACUUUUUCAUAUGAGGAUUCAUGAAGGAGGUAAUCAACCAGUGGCAUUUGGUCUAUCUCAGAAGUGAGUUCGAAGAAUCAAGAUAAUCCACAUAUGGCAGCUGAUUAUUCUUGAGGAAAGUCUGAGACAAAUUACUUUUGAGCAGAAAAGUAGUAAGUUGAAGACAAAAGGAGGUGUUUUCUAUUCAUCUCUUGGAGCUUGUGGUAGGAGCUCUGAGCUAUCUAUGGAAGAUUAUCUCUCGUAAUGGGAUGAGAAUGUAUAUGUCCCAAUUUAUGUUUGGGUUCUUUUGGAUCAAGCUGGUGACUCAGUGAUAUCUGAAGAUUAUCAGAUGGUGUUCUUUGUCAUGUUGUGAAGGAUGUCCUAACUAAUGUUAGAACAUUUUGUGAAGUGGUUUCCUGUUCUGGUUAGAAGAGAGAUUGACACAGAGUGUGGAUGUGUUCAGCCAAGAGGGUUGAACAGAGGGUGUGCUCUUGAAGACAUGAAGAUGAGUCUUAUGUUUUCCAUUCAUCAAGUGGUUUGGGUUCUCUUUGAAUCAGGAAGUAUGUGAAGGUCCAACUUUGGGGUGUUGGAUAUGUUCAUGUGUGAUCUCCAAGUUUCAAGAGGAGAGUUGGUUGUUCAUGACAGGGGGAGUUCUGUCUUUGUGCUGCAAGUAAUCAUCAAGCUUGUGGUCUAUGUGUUCUCAGAUAACAAGGUAUGACACCUGAUAUACCUGCUGUGAAGACAGUGUGUGACUACUUGAUCAAAGUUGUGAAGCAAGAUCAAGUGGGUAGUGUCUUGAUCAAAGUUGUAAAGCGAGAUCAAGAGGGGGUAUUCUUGAUUGAAACUGUGAAGUAAAAUCAAGAUUAUGUAUCUGUCACUUGUGUGUAAUUCUGUUUAUGUUGGUCUGUAAUUUAAAGUGUUGCUUUGGCAACAUUUUUGACAAAAAGGGGGAGUAACACCUGUGAUGCCCCAUGACAACAGAGUGUUUUGCUAAACAGAUAUUGAAGAUCCUCCAAGCCAGAGGUAGUGCUGUAGCUGAGGUUCCACUUCUAUGAGUGUGAGUUAUGUGUGCGGCAAUUAGAAGUUUUUAUUUAACUUCUGUAUGUGUGCUGUUAUGUGAAGUUUUUAUUUAACUUCCAUCUGUGUGAGUGUGUUGUUACUCUGAGUGUAUUAGCUAGGUUAAUUUCCUGCUAGAUGUGUGUUUUCCGCUGCUAUGGACUCUGUUGUGAAGCCAAAGUGUUUUAGCCAAAAAUUUGCCAAAGGGGGAGUUUGUAGAUGUUUGAUUGGCUGCAUUGUAUGGUAAAACACUAGCUGGAUUCUAAUGCCUUGACUGAUGUCAUGACAUGCUGUGAAGGUGUUUGUGUGACUGCAUUGUAGGUUAGAAUAUCUAGCUGUACUCUGAUGUCUUGACUGAUGUCAUGACACACUUGAGUAGUUUACUGCAGGAUUAGCUAAUACAGGAUUCAUUGAAUGUCAAACUGGAUGUUAUGACAUUCAUCCCUGUCAGCAGAUACUGAGGAAUAGAACAGUUGGUGUUCUGUUAGAACUCAGUAUUUAUUUUCAGUCUGGUGAUCAAGGAAAUACCAGAUCUGGCAUAAGGCCUACUGUCUGAAUGUCAAACUGGAUGUUAUGACAUUCAUCAUUGACAGCAUAUACUGAACAAUAGACAUAGUGGUGUUCUGCUACACUUCAGUAUGUUUAUCAGUCUGUUCUUCAAGAGGAUAACAGAACUGACUUAAGGAUAAAUAUGUAAAUGUCAAAUUGGAUGCUUUGACAUUUAUUAAUGUAAGCUGUUACUGUAGAAUGGACAGAUUGGUCCUGUACAGUUCAGCAAAUUUGUACAGUCUGUUUUCAGGAAAAACAGACUUAGCAUAUGGACCUUGAUGUCAAGAUGAAUGUUGUGACAUUCAUUCCUGACAGCAUAUGCUAUAUUGUAGGUUGUUUAAUUUUUCUGUUUCAGCAUUUUUCUCAGGCUAAAAUCCAGGAAACCAACAACCAAGCUACAAUUAAGGAACCUAACAAAUAGCCUAUUUGUUAGCACACUAAUAUGUGGAAAUUAGUUAGAAUCCUAUGUGGCAUUAUUUGUGGAGGUCUUGAGAUAUUUUAGGAACUAAAUAUGGAGAUAUUUUAGGAACUAAGAGAUUGAAGACCUUGAUUGUAGCAGAAAUUUUCUGCUGGUUUUGUAACAGCAAAGAACAAGUUUGCUGCGAUUUCUGAAGGCCCAAAUCCAGUUGGGUGAUUAGGUUAUAAAUAGCUUAUUGUAACCUAGUUUUUGUAAGCCUUUUAGAAUGAAUUUUUAGGGGUGUGUGUGAGGUAAACCUCCCAAUCUGUGGGAAGGUUACCAUGUGUUUCUCAGUGUUCAAAGCUGAGAGUGUUUGUAACUCAAAGCCUGUAGGCAAGAGUGAUUAUGUGCUUGAACGAAGCUGUGAAGCAAGUUCAAGUUGUUUUAACAUUACAUUGUAUUUGUAGUGAUAGGAAUGGAAACUGGAGGUUUCUAUCUAGGAGUUCCUAGGUAUAGAUUGCAUUGGGUAGGGAUUAAGUGAAGAGUUGUAAACGGGGGAGUUUAACUCUGAAUUAAUACUGCUGAUAGUGGAUCUUCUUCCUGGCUUGGUAUGCCCCCAAACGUAGGUGAGUUGCACCGAACUGGGUUAACAAUUGCUUGUGUUUUUACCUUCUGCACACUAUAUUUUGUCUGUUAUAACUCAGUCUGGUUUUAGUCUGUUUAUGAAGGGAAUAACAGAUAUGACACAUAGCCUGCAGUCUGAAUGUAAAACAUAAUGUUAUGACAUUCACCAUUGACUGCUGAUAUUGAUGGACUGGUUGGUCUGUUACAGUUCACUCAUCUGUAAUGUUAGGACAGGUGAUGUUCAAACCAAUGUUGAGACAUCAUGCUGAUAACUGGGCAGGAUAAAUAAACAUAAGGGCUAUGUUUGAUCUCUACUGUGUGUUUGCACUAGAUGGACAGAACUAGGUGUUCCUCCAUUCUAGGGUGAUAUAGAAGCAGAUGUCGUGACAUCUGUGAACGUGUGCAUAUUAGUACAGGGUUUAAUAACUGUCUUGCAGUAUUAGUUACAAUGUUGGAUCAGAUGUCAUGACUUGGAGUAGAACAUCUGAAAUCUGACUACACCAGAAUUUCAAUGACGGUUACUUUUCCGUGGUUUUCUACCCAGUAUCCGGUAGAUGUAAUCCCCUCUUUGACGGUUAUCAUUAUCCGAUAUUCGGUAUUGAUAUUCCCUCCCUCUUUCGGAUAAUUGCUCUGAUUAAGCAAUUUUAUCCCCAGUGGGUCCUCUUUCAUUUACCGUUUGCCGGUGAUGUUUGUUACUCCCCUUUUUUUUGAGCAUAUCUCCCAAUAAUCGGUGAUAUGUCUCCUGGAUCGUUGCCUUUGUCAAUGUAUCCCCGGUGAGUCAGCUCUCAUUUAUCCUUUGUUGGUAAUGAUUGUUUCUCCCUUUGAUUGGUCAUCAUUAUAUACCUCGUUUUGGUAUCCCAAUGCCUUUUCUCUCUCGGUUGAUUUAUCCUUUAUUAACCCAGUAACCGGUUGUGGAUAAUCUUCCAUGCGAGUAUAUUAUCUACGUUCUGAUGGUAAUAGAUAAUAUAUCUUAUGCACUCUUUGGUUGAAGUCUUCUGUCCUUCCCCAUUCGAGUAAGAUUCGUAUUCCCUUGGCGGAAUCGAAUGUCCAUCCUAUAAGUCGAGUUUUCUUUUUCAGCCCUCUUUUCGGAUGAUGAGUGUCUUGGGAAUAUUCCCCAAUUCACGCCUCGGUUGAUUUAUCCUUUAUUAACCCAGUAACCGGUUGUGGAUAAUAUUCCAUGCGAGUAUAUUAUCUACGUUUUGACGGCAAUAGAUAAUAUAUCUCAUGCACUCUUUGGUCGAAGCCUUCUGUCCUUCCCCAUUCGAAUAAGAUUUGUAUUCCCUUAGCGGGAUCGAAUGUUCAUCCUGUAAGUCGAGUUUGCUUUUUCAGCUCUCCUUUCGGAUGAUGAGUGUCUUGGGAAUAUUCCACAAUUCACGCUUUGGUUGGUCACCUAUUAUAUGCCCAGUAACUGGUAUCCCUGGUGUUCCUUCCUUCUGCUCCCUAUUAUGACUUUGGUCCCCUGUGGAGUCAGAUUUUCCUGAGUUGAGAUAUACCUUUUUAGGUCCUCCUCAGAUGAUUUGGUUGAUUGAUAUCUCUCACCCUUAUACCGGUCUUAGAUAUUCAUUCUUCCCGAGCUUGUUGUUCUCUCACCCUUAUACCGGUGAUCAGAUCACAUGUCUCAUUGAGCUUGUUACCCAGUAAUUGGUAACACCUCAUCCCGCUGCUCCCCCCAGGAGAGUCAUUUUUUAAGACAUCCCCAGCGAAGUCCCUUAGUGGAUUGUUUUUGUCCGGAUUUUUAUCUGAGGUAUCCAUUGCGGAUAGUUUUGUUGUGUUGGCAUAUUCCCCAAUACAUGCAUUUUCCCCGGCAGGGAUGUUUUGUUCAUAUCUUUCCCCAGCUUGAGUCCGGAUUUUUAUCCGAAGUAUCCAUUGCGGAUAGUUUUGCUAUGUUGGCAUAUUCCCCAACACAUGCAUCUUUGAGUCAGCUUGAGUCUUUCCAAUGGAUUUAUUCCCUUUGGAAACUCUUUUCCCCAGUGUCAAGUCGUGACUUGCUCACGCGGUUUCAGUCCUUUACUCCCCUAGCUUUGAGUCGUGACCUGCUCACGCAUUUCCUUUUCUAUCCCCAUGAGAGUCCACGAUAGAGUCUUUAUCCCUAAUGGGUGUGUUACUCCUAUGGAUUGUCAAUUUCUUCUGGUAUUUUCUUCUUUGUGGACACUUAUCCCCACAGAGUUUUGUUUGUUUUGCAUCAUGAGGUCUCUUAGGGACCAAAAUUUGUCUCUUUGUUAUUAUUUAAGCCCAUUCUACCUCGUCGAGACGAAGAUUUUAACCUUCACUUCUCCGGCUAGAAUGACCUUAAAUAGGGGCAUUUGUAAGACCCCAAUUUUGUCCCUAAGAUCCCUCAUGGCAUCAUAGCAUUGCAUUGCAUAGCCUCAAGGAUCAUUGAGCAUCUUGGCUCCCUUUCCCUUUGGGUAGGGAUCUCUUGUGAGUGGUUUAAGAUCACCAGGAAUGCUUGAAUUGUAUAUCAUUUCUUUUCUUGUUUUGUUUACUAACCAAAAGCACAAAAAUAUGUCAUUUACAUUUUUGUUUGUAGCUCAAGCAAGCACCAGGUCAAGAGCUUCAAGAAGACCCUUUGUGCAAGAGAUGAGGUAUUUUUCUUGAGAUGAGGAUCACAUGAUCAUUAUAAAGAGCUUACAUGAGCUAGGGUUCCAUUUUGAAGCCAUUUCAUCAAGAGAUAAAGGCUCAAGUUCAUCAAGGCAUUUCAAGGUCAUCUAAGGACCAAAAAGUCAACUGUGCAGUCAACUGAGGGCUAUGAGGUGGGGGAAAUGAGUUGAGACACCUCAAUCAUGUUCAAAUGAGGCUUAUUCAUCAUUUUAAUCAUCCAUCUUGAAGAUUCAAAGGUCAUGGCAAAAGUUACUAAAAAUGGAAAAUGACCUAUAAUUCAAAGUUUCCAAAUUUGGCAAGUUUUUAGUCAACAUUCAACUUGACUUGUCAAUGUCAAAGAAGUUUCAAAUGGAUUUUUUUGGUGAACAUGAAAGUUGUAGAUCUUUGUCUCCCCUUUCCAAAAAGUCCUAAUUCAUGUCCAUGUGAUGAAUGGUAGAGAAGUUAUGGUCAUUUCAUCACAAGGUGUGCAUGGAAAUUCAAAAUGGCAUAACUUUUUAUACAAAGCUCCAAUUUGGUCCAUUCUUUUUGCAAAAUGCUCCUCUUGAUCAAGACAUUUCAAAUGAACCUUUGCCAUGCAUGGGAAGAGUGUGUAUGCUCAUCAUUUCUCAUGUGAUCAUUUUGGAGGGAAUUUCCAUAAUUCAAAUUUUGCUUAUGAUACAAGCAAAAUACCACUUCCAUCAUGAUCCUUGGUUGAUUUUAAGUGAAAUCCAAGCUUAACAUGGGACUGUACACGUGUGUUUUGGACAUGCUAGCUUCAUUUGCAUUUUUGCACUUUGCUUGAAAUCUCACUAAUCAUGACUAAACAAAGGCUAAUGUGAUUAUCAUUGUGAUUAGUAUGGAGUACAAAAGCCAAACCCUAACCAUAACCACCAUAACAGAAAAUUUCAGAUCAAAAAUUCAAGAAUUCUCUCAUUUUUCUCUCUCUUCGAAUUUCCAAUUUCUCCACACAAACACCAAAUAUUUUUGUAGAUUCUUGAUCAUCAUGCUUCAUUGAGCAAGAAUCAACCAUUGGUUUGAGCAAUUCAGUCCAGAUUCGAGCAGUUCAAGUGCAAACUCAUAGCAAUGGAAGUUAGAAAUUGAGCUAGAUCCAGGUGGUUUCAAUUGUUUCUUUGUGCACAAAGCUUCAAGGCAAGGUCAAAGGAGUAGAUCUGGAGCUUUUGAGCUGUUGAUAACACAUGUACAGCAACCUUCAUUUCCAGGUUCUAAUUGAUGUGCUUGAGCUCAUGAGUUCAUUUGAAUGCUUGGGCAUUGUUCAUUGAGUUGUGUAACUGUGAAGGAUUCACUGUCUGUCUGUUGGUUUUCUGACUGAAAUAUUAACUGGUUAGCUUUUGUACAGAGAAGCGACUCAAAAGUGGAAAAAGGGCAAAGAGGAAGAGCAAGAGAACAAGGGUUGAAGAAGGGAAAAGCUUGAAGUUAAAGGAUUCGCCGGAUUAACUCAGGUAACGAGCAGUGAUUGAGUAGAAGCUAGUGCUUGGAGUCUAGUGUAGUUCCUUAGUGGGUCAUGCUCUGGUAUAUGUAACAUCGGGACGGGAUGUUUACUUUGUUUUCAUUUGUGGUUGUUGAACAACUUUACAUGUAAUGUGUUACAUGGUUUGCAUGUUGUUGGAUUUCUAUCCGCUGCGAAUUGUGCAAUGUUUUAUUUUGAUUAA